Molecule: long non-coding RNA, 2863 nt
Filed under: Homo sapiens (human)
Lineage: Eukaryota; Metazoa; Chordata; Mammalia; Primates; Hominidae
Description: HSALNT0350735
Source: RNAcentral
CUGACUGGUGACCCCUGGCACCAGGCUUCCCCAUGGGCACCGGAGCAGGCGGACAGGGGUGGGGUCCCGCGAGCGACACGGAAGGGUUUUUCAGUGUCCACACUCAGGGUUAUCUCCCAGCAGGAGCAGGGGAAAAUGCCAUGGGUCAUUGCUCUGCCAGGGCCUCCCUGCACAGAUUCCUAGGUCAAAACAAAGCAUAAACAAUCAACGCCAACAGAAAAAUCUUCCGAAGAACAAUUACAAGAAGUAACUCAGGAAAUUUUCCCAAGAGGCAAUCCAGAAGAGUUUGAGUUUCGAUCAGCUUGUAGGACUGAGACAGGAGCAGAACAUUGCUGGAAGAAAUUCACAAUACAGACCAGGAUGAAGUUAUUUCCCCAAAAGAGAGGUUCGAGGCAAGUGGUCAGCUCCCCGUUGAAAAUCAUUGUAGCAGACAAAUACCGGGAAUGUAAUAAAUUGGAGAAAAGUUUGUCUCUGGGCACAAAGCCUGUUGUACCUCUGAGGGACAGGCCAGGAAAGAGAGCCAGUGGAUGGAGGAUGGGUGGCUGAGGCUUUCCAUGUGAGUCAUAUCUGAGUGGACAUCGGGCAGUUACCAGUGGGACAAAGCCCCAUGGAUGCCAUGUGUAUGGGAAGUCUUUCAGCAAGAACUCACACCUUACUUGGCAUCAGAUAAUUCAUACUACAGAGAAGCCCUGUGUAUGUAUUGAAUGUGGGGAAAAAAACACAACUCAAGCCUUAUACAUCAUCAGAAAAUUCACCAUGGAUGGUGAAACCCUAUCUCUACUAAAAACACAAAAAUUAUCUGGGUGUGGUGGUGUAUGCUGGUAAUCCUGGCUACUCAGGAGGCUGAGGCAGAAGAAUUGCUUGAACCAGGGAGGCGGAGGUUGCAUUGAGCUGAGAUUGCGGCACUGCACUCCAGCCUGGGCGACAGAGUGAGACUCCAUCUCAAAAGAAAAGAAAAGAAAAGAAAAUUCAUGGUGGAGAAAAACCCUGUGUGUGUAGUGAAUGUGGUAAGGGCUUUAGGGAGACAUCAAAGCUUGUUAAACAUCAGAGAAUUCAUACUGGAGAAAAGCCCUAUAGGUGGGAUGAAUGUGACAAAGCCUUUAGUGGGAAUUCAAACCUUAUUAAACACCAACUGAUACAUACUGGAGAGAAGCCCUAUAAAUGUAUUGAGUGCGGGAAAGCCUUUAAUCCGAAAGCAAAUCCCAUGCAAUAUCAGAGAAUUCAUACAGGAGAGAAACUUUUUGAAUGUCAAGAGUGUGGAAAAAGCUUCAGUCAGCCAUCACACGUGAUUCAUAAUCAAAGGAAGCAUGCUUGAGAGAAGCCCUACAAAUGCAGUGAGUGUGGAAGGGGCUUCAAACAUCACACCUGAUUGAUCAUCAAAGAAUACACACUGGAGAGAAAACUUAUGUGUGUGUCAUGUGGGAGAGGCUUUAUUCAGAUGUCACACUUGAUUCAUUGCCACAGAACACAUUCUGUAGAGAAGCCACAUGCAUGUAGUGUAUGUGGGAAAUGCUUCAGCCAGAGCUCAACCCUUAUUAGACAUUAGGUUGUUCACAUUAUGGAUAGGAAGUAUAAGUUAAAGGAAUGUGGGCAGGCUUUCAGUGUGAGCUAGCUUCUCAGUCACUAUCUCACAAAUUCUACUGGAGAGGAACCCCUCAAUUCAUACAGGAGAGAAGAGCAUCCAAGAAUGCAACAAAGGUGGGAAGACUUUCAUUGUAGCUCAUUAUAUAAUGUCAGAGAGUUCCUGUUGGAGAGAACCCCUAUGGAUGUAAUGAAUGUUGAAAAAGCAUUUAUUUGGAACUCACAUAUUAUUUACAAUGAGAUAAUUCAUAGAGGAUAUAAUGGAUAUGAGAGGCUUUGGUGUACUGUGGGAAGUAGGUGGAAAUGUGGGUUCCUGCUAUUGCCAGCUGCUCCCUUUUGAAUAAACUGCCCUAGCAGGUGCUUGCCCCAGGGUGGCCAUGCUCUGUAGGGAAUCUUGCUUUAGACUGGGAUUGUAAGAUGGAGACAAAGACAGCCUUAUUCCUGGCUGGGAAUGCCACUGGAAAUGCUAGGGGAGGCCAGUGGUCCAUGGCGUGGCCUGAUCUCAAAUAUGCAGAAACCAGAAGCAGAGACCAGACCCAGAGAGAGGCAGAUAAAUGCAACCCCCAAAGUGGAUGCACAGGAAAAUGGAAAACUACUAGAGUUAGUGUUGGGUCUCCAGAGCUGCCUUUUUAUCCUGAACAAUGAUGAGCAAUGACUCCAGGUCUUCGUGAAACCAAACAGAAUAGCUGAGGCAGCUUCCUACACCUCUGCACUAAGUUUUUUAAAUCUGAAAGCAUGUAGAAUGAGUGUCAGCCGCACCAACAUGUAGGAUCUGUCUUUUAAUCAGAAGGCAAUCCGUUGUGGCUACUGGCUAUACUGAAAACAUAACAUUAUUUUAACAUAAUCCUUCAGCAGCUUAGGAUAAAAUCCUUGACUUUAGAAUGAAGUUUUCACUAUGAAAUGAAAUCAAGGCUGGGCACAGUGGCUUAUGCUUGUAAUCCCAGCACUCUGAGAGACCAAGAUGGAUCACUCGAGGCCAGGACUUUUGAGACCAGCCUGGCAACAUGGUGAGACCCCAUCUCUACAAAUAAAUAAAAUUAGCUAGGCAUGGUGGGAGGAUCAUUUGAACCCAGGAGGUUGAGGCUGGAGUGAGCCAUGAUUUCACUACUGUACUCUGUCCUGGGCAACAGAGCGAGCCUCUGUCCUAAAAAUAUGUGUGUUAAAGAUUACUUAUAUCUAGUUCAUACCUCCUAAAGGUAAUUUGAAUUGAAAUAGUGAUGCAUACAAUAAGGUCAUUAAAGUAGAAACAGAAAAUAAAGGAUUAUAAAGCCAUUGAUGGUAA